CGACGACAGGUCAAAAUGUCGGGGCUUUCGGAAGACAAGCGGCAGUCCGCGGAGAUGAUGUUCGGCGCCGAGGAAGUGCCAGCCUGCUACGACUCUGUCAUGCACCACAACCGCGAGGCCAUGAAGGUGUUUCUGGAGCGAUACAAGGAUUCUUUCUUUGCGGUCGAGAACGGUGCCCAGUGUGCGGAUUGCCAGUGGUUGGACGUCGGCUGUGGUCCAGGAAAGUUCACUAAGAACUAUUUGCUCCCGCACGCACCUUCGUCCUUGCGAAGACUGGUGGCGGCCGAUUUCUCACAGGCCAUGCUGGAUCAUGCCGCAAGAAACCAUGCACAUCCGAAGAUUGCGUAUCGCCUUCUCGACAUCGCAAACGACAAAGCCGUGUCGGCGUUUGCCGCGCGCGAAGGUCUCUUCGAGCGCGUAUGCUGCUUCCUAACGCUGCAUUGGAUCAGCGACAAAGCGGCCGCUCUCAGGAACCUGGAGUAUCUCACAGCCCCCGGGGGAGAGUGCUUGGUGGUGUUCAACCCGCGUGUUGCACCACAACAGGUGUUACGUGCCAUGAUUGCGUCCGGCAAGUGGAAAAGGCACGAACACGUUCUCAAAUCUGCUCUCCCGGAGUCCUGGGAGUUUUACGACGUUGACACCAUGGUGUCAAAGCUCGAAGGACUAGUCGCAUCAACAAGCCUGGUGGCCCUGUCGUGUGAAGUUGUGCCUCUGCAGGUCGGGAGCCCCGAAAUCGACCUAGAAGCGCUCUGUGUGCCGCUAUACCGAUUUAUCCGCACAUGAAAAAGGAAGGCCAGGUUGAAGUGGAAGAGUUUGUCAGAAACUUGGCUCUCCAAGACGGCUGCGUGAACUUCUCGGUUACGGGCAUAACGCAUCAACUUAGGUGCGUCAUUCACGCCCGCAAACCAGUAUUGUCGAGUUAAGAAGAGCCAAUUAGACCUGGCACAAGACUUCUGUGCGGCGUCUGCAACAUCCACGGUUGU
RNAcentral lists this unclassified non-coding RNA (983 nucleotides) under Dermacentor andersoni. RNAcentral describes it as "juvenile hormone acid O-methyltransferase-like". The record is from RNAcentral. Lineage: Eukaryota; Metazoa; Arthropoda; Arachnida; Ixodida; Ixodidae.